RNAcentral lists this ribosomal RNA (306 nucleotides) under uncultured bacterium. Its description in RNAcentral is "bacterial SSU rRNA". It matches the Rfam family "Bacterial small subunit ribosomal RNA", at positions 173 to 507 of the family's 1533-position model. The record is from RNAcentral.
UAAUAUCCAUCUCGUAUGGAUUAAAGCUUUAUGCGCUUUGGGAGGGGCCUGCGUAACAUUAGCUUGUUGGUGAGGUAAAAGCUCACCAAGGCUUCGAUGUUUAACUGGUUUGAGAGGAUGACCAGUCACACUGGGACUGAGAUACGGCCCAGACUCCUACGGGAGGCAGCAGUAAGGAAUCUUCCACAAUGGGGCAACCCUGAUGGAGCAAUACCGCGUGCAGGAUGAAGCGUUUCGGCGUGUAAACUGCUUUUAUCACCGAAGAUUAUGACUGUAGGUGAAGAAUAAGGACCGGCUAACUACGUG